RNAcentral lists this ribosomal RNA (108 nucleotides) under Octodon degus (degu). The record is from RNAcentral. Lineage: Eukaryota; Metazoa; Chordata; Mammalia; Rodentia; Octodontidae.
UUCUACGGCCAUACCACCCUGAAUGUGCCCGAUCUUGUCUGAUCUCGGAAGCUGAGCAGAAUCAAGCCUGGUUAGUACUUGGAUGGGAGAAAACAAUUGUUUUGUUAU